CCAAUAGCGUAUAUUAAAGUUGUUGUAGUUAAAAAGCCCGUAGUUGAACUUCGGGAUUUACCCAUUGGUCAGGCUUAAUUGUCUGUACUGGUGGGCUGAAUCUCUACCUUCUGAGGAACUUUCAUGCCAUCUAUUUGGUGUGAUGGGAAAUCAGGACUGUUACUUUGAAAAAAUUAGAGUGUUUAAAGCAGGCUAACGUCUGAAUACAUUAGCAUGGAAUAAUGAAAUAGGACGGACUGAUUCUAUUUCGUUGGUUUCUAGGAUCACCGUAAUGAUUAAUAGAGAUAGUUGGGGGCAUUAGUAUUCAAUUGUCAGAGGUGAAAUUCUUGGAUUUAUUGAAGACUAACUACUGCGAAAGCAUUUGCCAAGGAUGUUUUCAUUAAUCAAGAACGAAAGUUAGGGGAUCGAAGACGAUCAGAUACCGUCGUAGUCUUAACCAUAAACUAUGCCGACUAGGGAUCGGACGAAGUUAAUUUUAUAAUGACGCGUUCGGCACCUUAC
RNAcentral lists this ribosomal RNA (501 nucleotides) under uncultured Glomeromycotina. Its description in RNAcentral is "partial small subunit ribosomal RNA". It matches the Rfam family "Eukaryotic small subunit ribosomal RNA", at positions 591 to 1091 of the family's 1831-position model. Lineage: Eukaryota; Fungi; Glomeromycota. The record is from RNAcentral.